AUGUCCAAGUUCCUCCAAUCAUGAUCCCAUUGGACCAGCACUCAGUGCCUCUAAGGGAGAAUUACACAUUUUGUUAGUCACCUCUGGUCUGCCUGGAUCUGAUGAGUCAUCAGACCUGCUGCUCUGGGUUGAAUAGAAGUGUCUAGCCACGUGGAUGACGAAUCCUGGGCUAAUUUGAUUUUGCUAGGAAUCCAUUUGAAAAGCAGCUCAGAGAACAGAGAAAUGAGCUCCCUUCUUCCUCCCCACUGUGAACUCCAGCUGAGGAACUGGCGAAAAUGGCCCCAUCUCUCUUGGAGUGGUUGCCCAGACCUCCUUGGGAGAAGGGCAGAGAGUUGCUGCUGUUUUCUGGAAAGAAGUCAGUCCGUCAAAAGCAUAACUUCUUCCAGGUCUAGUUGGUGUGAAAACAGACUGACACCUUCACCUCUCCAAGAUGUUAUUUGAGCAACUGUUAUUAAGAUGCAACAAAGUUGGAAGCUGCUUCCUGCCCACCCUGCUCAGACCUUCAGAGCAAAACAAUAAACAAUCACAAAUAUAAC
This 536-nucleotide long non-coding RNA is filed under the name Cricetulus griseus (Chinese hamster). RNAcentral's name for it is "lncRNA (ENSCGRG00000026064.1)". Lineage: Eukaryota; Metazoa; Chordata; Mammalia; Rodentia; Cricetidae. The record is from RNAcentral.